CAUGCACCGGUGGGGGGUCCCUCGGCCUGGCCUGCACUCUUUCGCAAUCUGGGACCCCUUGGGGGAUGUCAGAGAGCUGCAGGCCAGGCUGAGGGACCCCACCGAUGCACG
This 111-nucleotide microRNA precursor is filed under the name Myotis brandtii (Brandt's bat). RNAcentral's name for it is "mir-9193 microRNA precursor family". It matches the Rfam family "mir-9193 microRNA precursor family". Lineage: Eukaryota; Metazoa; Chordata; Mammalia; Chiroptera; Vespertilionidae. The record is from Rfam by way of RNAcentral.